RNAcentral lists this long non-coding RNA (1028 nucleotides) under Homo sapiens (human). RNAcentral describes it as "HSALNT0113324". Lineage: Eukaryota; Metazoa; Chordata; Mammalia; Primates; Hominidae. The record is from RNAcentral.
CACCACCUCAGCUGCUAUAUCAUGGUGUCCUUUUUCAUUCUGUGACAGAGAGUGAAAAAAGAUGAGUCUAUAUUCCAUACAGCUGUACCCCCCUCAAUCUUAAAAUAAGUUCAAUUUAUUCCUACGAAACGAAAGAAAGGAAGCUUAUGUAGACACAGAAAAGGCAGGGAGUACCUCAACUGAAAGACACAAAAGUGAAUUAGAAAAUUAGGUUAUACAGGAACUUUGAAAGAGUGAAUUAUUUUUCACAGUGGGUAAAUGCGGUAGUGUUCGUAAUUACUGAAGCCAGACACUAUUGAACCGGAAAUGAAUUAACCUAUGUGAAGCACCUGGAGUCGAAAAAUAUUUGCAAGAAUACUAAUGAAUAUCGAGGAAGCAUGGCGAAGUGGCUAGGAGUGCGACCUCUGGAGGCAGGUGCCAGGGAUUCAAGCCAGGGCACUUGCUGGCAGUGUGUAACUUUGGAUGACAAGGCUUUGGUAGUAAGUAAUUCUGCACUCAUAAAACAAGUCGAAAACUUCCCCUCCUCUGGUAUUAACAUGUAUUAAUUUGAGAAGAUACUCUACUUACAUAUAAGAUCCAGAGUUUGGAAAUCUCUUGACCAAGGCUGCAGAGUCAGAAAAUGAUAGAGAGGAGAAUCUAAAUCAAAGAGUCCUUGAAUCACCAGUCUGCCCUUCGCAUUCAUUUGUAGGAUUAGAACCUACAAAUAUAAAACAGGACUUUUUUUUAAUGUAGCUUCAGUUAUAAGAAUAGGAGUGGUACUGCCUUCAUUCUAAUGAUUCUCUAAUAAGAACUGCAUGCAUCAAAUACAUUUUAGAACAUCAGGACUCAUUUUCAAAAGAAAUGUUGUGCAGAUAACAGCAGGGGAAGCAGCAGAGAGGGCUGGAGUCUCCCCCACACCAGCCCUCUUUGUAUCCUAAGGGAAUCAAUUUAAUGUUAAUUUAAGCUUUUCUCUACCCUCCACUACUCUUUAUUUCAUUUAUAAAUUAUUGUGUAGCGGCCAGGUGCGUUGGCUCAUGCCUGUAAUCCCA